This 62-nucleotide transfer RNA is filed under the name Dipodomys ordii (Ord's kangaroo rat). It matches the Rfam family "tRNA", at positions 6 to 65 of the family's 71-position model. From Rfam's summary of the family: Transfer RNA (tRNA) molecules are approximately 80 nucleotides in length. Their secondary structure includes four short double-helical elements and three loops (D, anti-codon, and T loops). Further hydrogen bonds mediate the characteristic L-shaped molecular structure. tRNAs have two regions of fundamental functional importance: the anti-codon, which is responsible for specific mRNA codon recognition, and the 3' end, to which the tRNAs corresponding amino acid is attached (by aminoacyl-tRNA synthetases). tRNAs cope with the degeneracy of the genetic code in two manners: having more than one tRNA (with a specific anti-codon) for a particular amino acid; and 'wobble' base-pairing, i.e. permitting non-standard base-pairing at the 3rd anti-codon position. Lineage: Eukaryota; Metazoa; Chordata; Mammalia; Rodentia; Heteromyidae. The record is from Rfam by way of RNAcentral.
UAUGGCUUAGUGGCAGAGUGCUUGCCUCACAGGCAUGAAGCCCUGAGUUCAAUUCCUCAGUA